ACAAAGCAAAGAAAAGAUUUUUGUUUUUAUAAGUUGAGGUAAGCCUGGUGUUUUCCGCGUUUCAAAAAUCCAUGUUAAACGUUCAUGAAAAUACCCUGAAGUAAACAUUAAAAAUGGCUUAUAAAUAUACGGUCGAAUUAUCCUAGAAAUACGAAGCAGUUAUGGUUCUCAGUGGAGUGGGGGGGAUGCUCUAGGUUAUAAAAAUGGUUUGUGGGAAUUCUGUUACAGUGGUACUCAAAUUCAUGAAGAACUAGAAAAACUCGGAGGACUUGAUAAAAUUGACAUUAAAGGAUGGAGGGUUAGUGACGACACUGUACUACACAUUGCUACAGCAGAAGCGUUGGUUUCUGAAUGGACAACAACGGAAGAGUUAUUGUGCAUUAUGGUUACAAAGUACAAGAAGACAUGUGCUGAGGAUAUGUGGGAAAGAGCUCCUGGUCAGACCACAACAAACGCAUGUUUCAUGUUACAACCUCUUGAGGAAAAAGGUUACAUUAUACCCUUUAAUGAAUGAGGUGGCGGAUGUGGUGCAGCUAUGAGAUCCAUGUGUAUAGGUUUGAUGUUUCCUUGUGAAGAUCAAAUUGAAAUGUUAAUUGAAAUUGCUGUUGAAAGUGGAAGGAUGACUCAUAAUCACCCCACAGGUUAUCUUGGGGCUGUUACUGCAGCUUUAUUUACAGCGUAUGCUAUACAGAAGAUACCUCCAAAAAGUGGGAGAGCAGGACUUUUAAGUGUUUUACCCAAAGUUUGGGAAUACAUUGAGAAGGUUGGUCGAGAUGUAGAAGAAAACAAGAAAGCCUGGCGCUACUAGUUGGGAGUCAUAUCUUGAACUAGGGGGAUUAAUGAGUGGAACCAUUGAAUGAAAGUUUCCAGUGACAUAUAACAUACCUGAACGUGAUGCUUUUUAUAAAUCUCUGAGUUAUGCAGGUUGGGGUGGGUCCCAUGGUCAUGAUGCACCAAUGAUUGGUUACCAUUCUUUGAUGGUGGCAAAAGAUACCUGGUUUCAAUUGUGUUCUUUGCUAUGUUUCAUGGUGGAGAUAGUGACAGUACAGGAAUAUUGGCUGCAGCAUGUUGGGGUGGUAUGUAUGGUAUGAAAUGUGUACCUCUUGGAAAUUAUAGGAAUAUGGAAUAUGGUCAUAGGCUUAUGGAGCUGGGUAAAAAAUUACUGAAUGUAUUAAAGAAUAUGAAAAACUAACAGGAUAGUAUUUAUUUAACCAUAUUUAUGUUAUAAAAUUCUGUCAUCCCAAUACACUUUAGUAUGUUUGUGAAUCAUACAAUAAAAGUUACUACUUGGUUA
Molecule: long non-coding RNA, 1294 nt
Organism: Xenia sp. Carnegie-2017
Lineage: Eukaryota; Metazoa; Cnidaria; Anthozoa; Malacalcyonacea; Xeniidae
Exons: 2
Source: RefSeq, a predicted model, not a curated record